Molecule: ribosomal RNA, 320 nt
Filed under: uncultured Prevotella sp.
Lineage: Bacteria; Pseudomonadati; Bacteroidota; Bacteroidia; Bacteroidales; Prevotellaceae
Description: partial 16S ribosomal RNA
Source: RNAcentral
GGAGUAUGGACCGUGUCUCAGUUCCAUUGUGGCCGAUCAACCUCUCAGAACCCCUACUGAUCGUCGCCUUGGUGGGCCGUUACCCCGCCAACAAGCUAAUCAGACGCAUCCCCAUCCCUUAGCGAUAAAUCUUUGCUCCUCGUUAGAUGCCUGCAAAGGAGAACAUAGAGUAUUAAUCCGACUUUCGCCGGGCUAUCCUCUACUAAGGGGAAGGUUGGAUACGCGUUACUCACCCGUGCGCCGGUCGCCAGCAACAAUAGCAAGCUAUCGCCCUGCUGCCCCUCGACUUGCAUGUGUUAAGCCUGUAGCUAGCGUUCAUC